CUAUACUAUAUAUAUAAUGCAUAUCCGAAGGGCAGAAAUGGUCAUUUGCCACUUUACAACCAUUCAAGCCUUGUGUACAAUUGUUUAAAGCACAUGAAUGCUUCCGAUACAAGCCUGGAACCCUAAAACUUUCAAAAUUCAAAUCAUCGCGCUCAUUCCAAUCUCUUAUUUUCUCUGGAUCUCUGGAAGACUGGAACCAAAGUUUCAAAAUUCAAAUAAUCAUGGUAUCUCUAAUCUCUCUUUUUCUCUGGAUCUUGAACCCUACGCUCCUUCAUAUCUCCAAUAUCCUCCAUCCGUUCCCCUUCCCCAUGCGCACAAAGAUGAAAUCAGAUGAUGAAUAACCAGAGAUGAAGAACAAAAAUCGAUGAAACUGAAAACACGCAGUGAUGAACACCGAUUUGAAGAAACCCUAACUGAAGAUUUCUUCCGGUCUUCUCUGCUGAGUGCAACCUAACUCUCUUUACUUAAGUGGAACCGAGAUAAGGAAUUGAGGGCCACUUUGGAGAAGGUUAAGCAGCAUAAUUUGCAACUUGCUCUGUCAAGCAUCUCACUGAUAGAGGAACUAUGUUUGGUCAAGUAAAGGGUAAGUACAAUGCUAGGUAACUUUAUUGAAAUUAAUCAAUGUUGCACGUUAAGGAGGUACGGGGGAUCUCGAGGGGUGGUUCGGUGGAGAUCUAAAAGUUCAGGGACUUAGUUUUAAUAAUUGAGUUUUUAGUUUUUAUCUGAUUAGUUUAGAUAGAGUUAAAGUCAAUUUAGGAGUCCUAGUUCAGUAAGUUUCGUAUUGUUGGUAGCUUUAUAAGUAGGUCAUUAUUAAUUGUAAAUUGCAACCUUUUAAUUUAAUAAAAAGUGUCGCUAAAAGUAUUAGCAAUUCUGUGUGUUGUGAACUAUCUGGGAGAUUUGAGUUUGAAGGCCACGAGUCAACAAACUUGUCAUUCUAUUUGACUUUGAACAGUGGUCAGAUUCAUAUCGCUUUGUUUUGUUGUUUGAGUCAGCAAAAAGAUCUCUAUCAUGAGCCUGACCGCAAAAAUCGCUUGAUUGUUGCAAAAAAAAAACGUGGAGUUGGAGGUUAGUUAAUAUAUUCUUCAUUUGUUAGUACACCACAUGAUACAUAGCUUGAACUAUAUUUUGUAGAUGGUUGGUGCCUCUGGGAACAACUUGAUGUGUUGUGUUUAGGGCUGUAAACGAACCGAACGUUCAGUGAAUAGUUCAUGAACCGUUCGUUGGGAAGUUCGUUUACGUUCGU
Molecule: long non-coding RNA, 1243 nt
Organism: Helianthus annuus (common sunflower)
Lineage: Eukaryota; Viridiplantae; Streptophyta; Magnoliopsida; Asterales; Asteraceae
Exons: 3
Source: RefSeq, a predicted model, not a curated record